GUGCUCACUUCAGCAGCACAUAUACUAAAAUUGGAACAAUACAGAGAAGAAUACUAUGGCCCUGCACAAGGAUGACAUGCAAAUUUGUGAAGUGUUCCAUAUUUUU
This 106-nucleotide small nuclear RNA is filed under the name Castor canadensis (American beaver). Lineage: Eukaryota; Metazoa; Chordata; Mammalia; Rodentia; Castoridae. The record is from RNAcentral.